AAUAAUGUGCCUGAUUAAAGGAUUAUCGUGAUAGGAUAAAUAAAGUAAAUUUUACCAUUAUUA
This 63-nucleotide transfer RNA is filed under the name Furcilarnaca armata. RNAcentral's name for it is "tRNA-Ile". Lineage: Eukaryota; Metazoa; Arthropoda; Insecta; Orthoptera; Gryllacrididae. The record is from RNAcentral. RNAcentral also lists the same sequence under 1 other name.